Molecule: ribosomal RNA, 255 nt
Filed under: uncultured bacterium
Lineage: Bacteria
Description: partial 16S ribosomal RNA
Rfam family: Bacterial small subunit ribosomal RNA
Source: RNAcentral
UACGGGGGGAGCAAGCGUUGUUCGGAUUUACUGGGCGUAAAGGGCGCGUAGGCGGCCACCGCAAGUCGACUGUGAAAUCUCCGGGCUUAACCCGGAAAGGUCAGCCGAUACUGCGGGGCUAGAGUGCAGAAGGGGCAACUGGGAAUUCUCGGUGUAGCGGUGAAAUGCGUAGAUAUCGAGAGGAACACCUGCGGCGAAGGCGGGUUGCUGGGCUGACACUGACGCUGAUGCGCGAAAGCUAGGGGAGCGAACGGG